GAUAAACCAAAGGCAUCCAUGAAGACUUUGCUUCCUUCUUCUAGUAGCUCACAGAGACCAAAGUUGGCGCACAGCACUCUCCUAACACCAAAGACUCUACAAUCCUUCUUCCUGGGAUGUGUGAAAGCACAGAGAGAUGGAGACAUGGCUGCUUGGAAAUUGUCCUUAAAGGAACCACAGAAUCAUCUUUUAGAGCUGAGUGAAUGGUGCCUCUGGAUUGCAUCUGCAACCUCAUGUUCCAGAAUGUUGGCUCCAUGAAGGCAAGGAGUUUUGUCUCUUUGGUUAACUGCUGAUACCAGUGCCUGGAGAUGUUAAGUUGAUGAAAGACCAAGAAAAGCGAGGGAGAAAACUCAAUAUAUUUGAGAACAAAGGCAGCCAUUAACCUUUCCAUCUUGAGAAUCGAAUCUGUAGCCAAAAUCUCAGCAGACAGAGCUACAUAAUGCCAGAUAAAUCUUCUUGCUGAAUGAGAGACCCAUCCUACCAGCACAAACAACAUUUGAACACUCUAGCCCCCAGCCUUACCAGGCUGCCCUCCAUUCUCUACACACAGAGUCUUUGUGGGGACACUCCAGGCCAGUUAUUUCACCAUCCUGAGUCUGGUCCCUGAGGCCCAGGGACAAAUAUUCAGUUCAGGUUUGAAUUGAGGAAAGAUACUACUACCUUGAUGGGGGAUCAGGACCAUAGGACCAAAUUGAACCAGGCAAGACUGAAGGGGCCAAGGGAUAGAGGAUCCCCUUCCCAAAGGAGCCAACUGAAAGGCAACAAUUGGGUGGCCUGUUAGAGAGGAAAGAAGCUUAGGACAAGGAGAAUGCCACUUUCUAGUAUUACAAAAAUAUUCCCUAGGCAAAAUGAGGCCUUUUUUUACUCUGACACUAUUUUUUUUUUUUUUAAACCAACUCUGAAAGAAAAAUGAUAAGGUCAAGGUUGGUCCAGGGAACAGUAGGUAGGGAAGCAGAUGAGAGGUUCAGAGCUCUGGAGUGUGAGCAAGAUACUCUUCUUCUAGGCACCUGAGUUAUCUUCUUUCUAAAUCGGGGCUAAAUGUCCCUUUCCAUGUUUCCUGAGUAGUCAGGGAAGCAACAAACCAGUCAUUAGGAAUUAGAACCAAGAAUCAGAUGGGCCUGGUUUGCAUGCCAAUGGUGUCACUGGCUAGCCGUGCAAGCCACUGCAAGUCUCAGAGUUUUGGUUUGCUUGUGUGUGAAAAUGACAAAUACAGUGCCGGCCUAACAGAAGCAUGGUGAACAUCUGAUGAUGCAAUAUGUGCAAAGUGCUUAACGUAGUUCCUGGCACAAUAUUAAGUACUUCAUAAAUGUUUGCUGUUAUGAUUAUCAAUCAAAACACAGCAGUAAUAAAUUAAGGCAUGUUAUUAGACCUUAGCUUUCCUACCAAUAAAGAACUAGGCAAUAUCAACUGUUCCUUCCAGCUCUGCUGUUUAUCUGAAAAUUCACAACAGACACUCAGUGAUACAGAAAAGAAAUGUGUGCUCCAGACCAUGUGAACUGCAGAAGAGAAUUUGGUUCUCUUCAGCUUCAAUUCACAUUUGGGUUCAUGAGUUUUGCUGCCUUCCUUCUUUUGUCUACAUAUUGACACCUAGGAAAACUCAUGAUGCCAGAGAUCCCUGACACCUGGCUCACAUGGUAGGCUGCAUGAUGAUGGAGCCGAGAGCUGAACCGCCCAAGGACAGAGGGCCUUAGCAGGAACUUUGGGAAUCAGCAUAUUGAUACCUAAGUGGAGACCUCUUUCCAGACCCAGAAACUGGAGCACGCAAGGCCUUGGGGAAAUGAACAGCAAGUUCACAGCCCAAGGUUUCUCUGACUGGUUGGAGAGUCUAAUGUAUUCCAUCAUGCCAUCUAAUUCACAGUCUCCUUGCUUUGACUGUCUGUCUCCUGCUUCUGGUGGCUCUUGCUCAAGAUGUGAAAAGUCAUUAGAGAUGCUUAUUACCAUGGAGUGGAAAAGUCAGGGGGCUUUGAAGCAGAUUACUCAGUUCGAAUCUGGGCUCCCUAACUUUGCUGUUUUGAGCAGGUGGUUUCACGUUUCUAGCCUUGCUUUCUUUAUCUGAAGCAUGAAGCUGAUAAUUUCUACUUUCCAAAGUUGUUUUAUGAGCUUUAACUGAGAUAACUGAUAUACAGUGCCCAGCACAGUUCGUGUAGUGGGUUUUCAAUUAAUGUUCAUUCUGUCCCUUCUUUCCUUAUCAAUAUAAAAAUAACCAAAUCCUAUAUAUUUACUUAACCCUUUAUCUCUUAUUGUAUAAGUUUCAAAUUUUAUAUCUCUAUCA
Long non-coding RNA from Nomascus leucogenys (northern white-cheeked gibbon), 2272 nucleotides. RefSeq lists it as uncharacterized. The record is from RefSeq and is a predicted model, not a curated record. The transcript has 4 exons. NCBI's taxonomy places the organism in Eukaryota, Metazoa, Chordata, Mammalia, Primates, Hylobatidae.